This 467-nucleotide ribosomal RNA is filed under the name uncultured bacterium. RNAcentral's name for it is "bacterial SSU rRNA". It matches the Rfam family "Bacterial small subunit ribosomal RNA", at positions 100 to 565 of the family's 1533-position model. The record is from RNAcentral.
GCACGGGUGAGUAACGCGUAUGCAACCUACCUAUCAGAGGGGAAUAACCCGGCGAAAGUCGGACUAAUACCGCAUAAAACAGGGGCACCGCAUGGUGAUAUUUGUUAAAGAGAUUCGCUGAUAGAUGGGCAUGCGUUCCAUUAGGUAGUUGGUGAGGUAACGGCUCACCAAGCCGACGAUGGAUAGGGGAACUGAGAGGUUGGUCCCCCACACUGGUACUGAGACACGGACCAGACUCCUACGGGAGGCAGCAGUGAGGAAUAUUGGUCAAUGGGCGAGAGCCUGAACCAGCCAAGUCGCGUGAAGGAAGAAGGAUCUAUGGUUCGUAAACUUCUUUUGCAGGGGGAUAAAGUGCAGGACGUGUCCUGUUUUGUAUGUACCCUGAGAAUAAGGAUCGGCUAACUCCGUGCCAGCAGCCGCGGUAAUACGGAGGAUCCGAGCGUUAUCCGGAUUUAUUGGGUUUAAAG